Molecule: transfer RNA, 77 nt
Filed under: Candidatus Odyssella acanthamoebae
Lineage: Bacteria; Pseudomonadati; Pseudomonadota; Alphaproteobacteria; Holosporales; Candidatus Paracaedibacteraceae
Also listed under: 1 other name
Description: tRNA-Arg (CCT) (tRNA-Arg-CCT-1-1)
Rfam family: tRNA
About the family: Transfer RNA (tRNA) molecules are approximately 80 nucleotides in length. Their secondary structure includes four short double-helical elements and three loops (D, anti-codon, and T loops).
Source: RNAcentral
GCGGUCGUAGCUCAGCAGGAUAGAGCGACGGAUUCCUAAUCCGUAGGCCGUGGGUUCGAAUCCCGCCGAUCGCACCA